Molecule: ribosomal RNA, 253 nt
Filed under: uncultured bacterium
Lineage: Bacteria
Description: partial 16S ribosomal RNA
Rfam family: Bacterial small subunit ribosomal RNA
Source: RNAcentral
UACAGAGGGUGCGAACGUUGUUCGGAAUCACUGGGCAUAAAGCGCUCGUAGGCGGCACCGCAAGUGUGGGGUGAAAUCCCACGGCUUACCCGUGGAACUGCCUGGCAGACUGCGGUGCUAGAGGAUGGUAGGGGAGAGCGGAACUCUUGGUGGAGCGGUGAAAUGCGUAGAUAUCAGGAGGAACACCGAUAGCGAAGGCAGCUUGCUGGGACGGUACUGACGCUGAGACGCGAAAGCGUGGGGAGCAAACAGG